GAGUAAUAUUGUUCUGUGCGAUCGUGUCUAUGACUCUUUGGCAAAAGUUUUUUCAAUUUUCCUAUCGUACCUAACUUGAAACUAUCAAGAUCAACUACCACCACGGAUUGAGAUGUCUCGAAUCUCAGCAUUUGCCACUGGUGCACCACAUUUUGUUAUUAGAGAAAAGACUGCUAUGGAAAAUACUCUACUGACUGUUAGACAAAACGACGUUUUAUCUGCGACUUAAUA
Long non-coding RNA from Pararge aegeria (speckled wood butterfly), 231 nucleotides. RefSeq lists it as uncharacterized. The record is from RefSeq and is a predicted model, not a curated record. Lineage: Eukaryota; Metazoa; Arthropoda; Insecta; Lepidoptera; Nymphalidae. The transcript is spliced from 2 exons.